CCCACCAAAGGAGAUGGAGUUCACCUACAUGACUCCUACCAGGAC
Chaetura pelagica (chimney swift) is the source of this 45-nucleotide non-coding RNA. NCBI's taxonomy places the organism in Eukaryota, Metazoa, Chordata, Aves, Apodiformes, Apodidae. The record is from Rfam.